ACGGGAGGCAGCAGCUAAGAAUAUUCCGCUAUGGACGAAAGUCUGACGGAGCGACGCCGCGUGGAUGAUGAAGGUCGAAAGAUUGUAAAAUCCUUUUGGAAGUGGGGAAUAAGCAUUGCAGGGAAUGGCAGUGUGGUGACUGUAGCGUCUGAAUAAGCAACGGCUAAUUACGUGCCAGCAGCCGCGGUAACACGUAAGUUGCGAGCGUUGUUCGGAAUUAUUGGGCGUAAAGGGCAUGUAGGCGGUCGUGAAAGUUUGGUGUGAAAGCCCGGGGCUUAACCCAGGAACUGCAAUGGAAACUGCAGGACUAGAAUUACUGAAGGGCAACCGGAAUUCCAAGUGUAGGGGUGAAAUCUGUAGAUAUUUGGAAGAACACCAAUGGCGAAGGCAAGUUGCUGGCAGAUAAUUGACGCUGAGGUGCGAAGGUGCGGGGAGCAAACAGGAUUAGAUACCCUGGUA
This 459-nucleotide ribosomal RNA is filed under the name uncultured Treponema sp. Its description in RNAcentral is "partial 16S ribosomal RNA". It matches the Rfam family "Bacterial small subunit ribosomal RNA", at positions 341 to 792 of the family's 1533-position model. Lineage: Bacteria; Pseudomonadati; Spirochaetota; Spirochaetia; Treponematales; Treponemataceae. The record is from RNAcentral.